GACGAACGCUGGCGGCGUGCUUAACACAUGCAAGUCGAACGGAAAGGCCCUGCUUUUUUGGGGUGCUCGAGUGGCGAACGGGUGAGAAACACGUGAGUAACCUGCCCUUGACGUUGGGAUAACUUCAGGAGACUGGGGCUAAUACCGGAGAGGAGCUCCUGCUGCAUGGUGGGGGUUGGAAAGUUUGGGCGGUGUGUGAUGGACUCGCGGCUUAUCAGCUGGUGGGUGGGGUAGUGGCUUAGCACGGGUUUGACGGGUAGCCGGCCUGAGAGGGUGACCGGCCACAUUGGGACUGCGUUAGGGAGCAGACUGCGACGGGUGUCAGCAGUGGGGAAGAUGGCACAAUGGGCGGAGGCGUGUGGCAGCAGCGCGGCGUGCGGUAUGGCGGCCUUCGGGCUGGUAACCGCUUUCGCCUGUUACGAAGCGGGAGUGACGGUAACGGGUAAAGAAGCACCGGCUAACUACGUG
This 468-nucleotide ribosomal RNA is filed under the name uncultured bacterium. RNAcentral describes it as "partial 16S ribosomal RNA". It matches the Rfam family "Bacterial small subunit ribosomal RNA", at positions 28 to 507 of the family's 1533-position model. The record is from RNAcentral.